GCUUGUCUCAAAGAUUAAGCCAUGCAUGUCUAAGUAUAAACGAUUAUACAGUGAAACUGCGAAUGGCUCAUUAUAUCAGUUAUAAUUUAUUUGAUAGUACCUUACUACUUGGAUAACUGUGGUAAUUCUAGAGCUAAUACAUGCAAAAAAACCCGACUUCUGGAAGGGUUGUAUUUAUUAGAUGGAAACCAAUGCGGGGUAACCCGGAAUAUGGUGAUUCAUAAUAACUUUCGGAUCGAUUUAUCGAUGCAUCAUUCAAGUUUCUGCCCUAUCAGCUUUGGAUGGUAGGGUAUUGGCCUACCAUGGCUUUAACGGGUAACGGAGAAUUAGGGUUCGAUUCCGGAGAGGGAGCCUGAGAAAUGGCUACCACAUCCAAGGAAGGCAGCAGG
This 389-nucleotide ribosomal RNA is filed under the name uncultured Chrysophyceae. RNAcentral describes it as "partial small subunit ribosomal RNA". It matches the Rfam family "Eukaryotic small subunit ribosomal RNA", at positions 30 to 432 of the family's 1831-position model. The record is from RNAcentral. Lineage: Eukaryota; Chrysophyceae.